This 510-nucleotide ribosomal RNA is filed under the name uncultured beta proteobacterium. Its description in RNAcentral is "bacterial SSU rRNA". It matches the Rfam family "Bacterial small subunit ribosomal RNA", at positions 554 to 1063 of the family's 1533-position model. The record is from RNAcentral. Lineage: Bacteria; Pseudomonadati; Pseudomonadota; Betaproteobacteria.
CUGGGCGUAAAGCGUGCGCAGGCGGUUAUAUAAGUCAGAUGUGAAAUCCCCGGGCUCAACCUGGGAACUGCAUUUGAGACUGUAUGGCUAGAGUGUGUCAGAGGGGGGUAGAAUUCCACGUGUAGCAGUGAAAUGCGUAGAUAUGUGGAGGAAUACCGAUGGCGAAGGCAGCCCCCUGGGAUAACACUGACGCUCAUGCACGAAAGCGUGGGGAGCAAACAGGAUUAGAUACCCUGGUAGUCCACGCCCUAAACGAUGUCUACUAGUUGUUGGGUCUUAAUUGACUUAGUAACGCAGCUAACGCGUGAAGUAGACCGCCUGGGGAGUACGGUCGCAAGAUUAAAACUCAAAGGAAUUGACGGGGACCCGCACAAGCGGUGGAUGAUGUGGAUUAAUUCGAUGCAACGCGAAAAACCUUACCUACCCUUGACAUGGCAGGAAUUCCGAAGAGAUUUGGAAGUGCUCGCAAGAGAACCUGCACACAGGUGCUGCAGGCUGUCGUCAGCUCGU